GGCAUCAUGAGGACAGGAAGCCAGCUCUGCAGCACCUUUCAGCCCCUCAGUACAUCUAGUUGCUGUCAACCACAGAACUCACACCAUUCUGUUUCAUUCUCUGUUUGGACAGUAAGCUCACCUCCCCUCUCUCUCCUCACGCUACUGCAGGGUGGGAGAUGCAACAAUGGCCUUGAGAACAGCAGAAAGUGUGUUGGUUGUCUUUCUCUGGUCUGUAGCAGUGGUACUGGGUCAGGAUGGCUGGAGUGUGAAAUACACCACUCAGAGUAUCUGUACCUUGAAGGGGUCGUCAGUGGAUUUGUUCUGCUCUUACACAUAUCCCAGUGGUACAGUCACAACAACCUUCUGGUUCACUAAAUGGGGGACUGGUGUAGAACCUAAAGAUCUAGGUCAGGACCCAGAGUAUGCAGGUCGUCUGGAGUAUCAUGGGGAUAAGAAGAAAGACUGUACCCUGAGAAUCACAGACCUGAGAGAGAGAGACUCAGCUUCGUAUUGGUUCAGAUUACUAACAGAUCAGACCAGAGGGAAAUAUUCUGGAAGUCCUGGAGUCACUCUGUCUGUAACAGCUCUGCAGGUGAAGGUAAUUUCUAAAACUUGGUCAAAUUGGGUGACACUGACCUGUAUCACCACCUGUACUCUGACUGACAACCCCACCUACAUCUGGUACAAGAACGGACACAAAGUAAAGGAGGACACCUCCAGCAUGUACUCAAACUACUUUAGUGAUGCAAACAGUUACUCCUGUGCUGUA
Oncorhynchus masou masou (cherry salmon) is the source of this 751-nucleotide long non-coding RNA. RefSeq lists it as uncharacterized. The record is from RefSeq and is a predicted model, not a curated record. NCBI's taxonomy places the organism in Eukaryota, Metazoa, Chordata, Actinopteri, Salmoniformes, Salmonidae. The transcript has 4 exons.